CCGCCCUUAGCUCAAUUGGAUAGAGUAUCAGAUUCCGAUUCUGACGGUUGCAGGUUCGAUUCCUGUAGGGCGGG
This 74-nucleotide transfer RNA is filed under the name Candidatus Apopatosoma intestinale. Its description in RNAcentral is "Ruminococcus sp. CAG:724 tRNA". It matches the Rfam family "tRNA". From Rfam's summary of the family: Transfer RNA (tRNA) molecules are approximately 80 nucleotides in length. Their secondary structure includes four short double-helical elements and three loops (D, anti-codon, and T loops). The record is from Rfam by way of RNAcentral. Lineage: Bacteria; Bacillati; Bacillota; Clostridia; Eubacteriales.